AUAUGAAGGUCCCAAGCGUUAUUCGGAAUCACUGGGCGUAAAGAGUACGUAGGCGGUUUGGUAAGUCAGGUGUGAAAUCCCGAAGCUCAACUUCGGAACUGCAUCCGAUACUGCCAGACUAGAGUAAUGGAGAGGCAGGUGGAAUUCUCGGUGUAGCAGUGAAAUGCGUGGAUAUCGAGAGGAAGACCAAUGGCGAAGGUAGCCUGCUGGACAUUUACUGACGCUGAGGUACGAAGGCUAGGGGAGCGAAAGGGAUUAGAUACCCUGGUAGUCC
This 274-nucleotide ribosomal RNA is filed under the name uncultured bacterium. Its description in RNAcentral is "partial 16S ribosomal RNA". It matches the Rfam family "Bacterial small subunit ribosomal RNA", at positions 523 to 796 of the family's 1533-position model. The record is from RNAcentral.